UACGUAGGGCGCAAGCGUUGUCCGGAAUUAUUGGGCGUAAAGAGCUCGUAGGCGGUUUGUCGCGUCUGCUGUGAAAACCUAAGGCUCAACCUUGGGCUUGCAGUGGGUACGGGCAAACUAGAGUGCGGUAGGGGAGAUUGGAAUUCCUGGUGUAGCGGUGGAAUGCGCAGAUAUCAGGAGGAACACCGAUGGCGAAGGCAGAUCUCUGGGCCGUAACUGACGCUGAGGAGCGAAAGCAUGGGGAGCGAACAGG
Molecule: ribosomal RNA, 253 nt
Filed under: uncultured bacterium
Lineage: Bacteria
Description: partial 16S ribosomal RNA
Rfam family: Bacterial small subunit ribosomal RNA
Source: RNAcentral